UACGUAGGGUGCAAGCGUUGUCCGGAAUUAUUGGGCGUAAAGAGCUCGUAGGCGGUCUGUCGCGUCUGGUGUGAAAACUCGGGGCUCAACUCCGAGCUUGCAGUCGAUACGGGCAGACUAGAGUUCGGCAGGGGAGACUGGAAUUCCUGGUGUAGCGGUGAAAUGCGCAGAUAUCAGGAGGAACACCGGUGGCGAAGGCGGGUCUCUGGGCCGGUACUGACGCUGAGGAGCGAAAGCGUGGGGAGCGAACAGG
RNAcentral lists this ribosomal RNA (253 nucleotides) under uncultured bacterium. RNAcentral describes it as "partial 16S ribosomal RNA". It matches the Rfam family "Bacterial small subunit ribosomal RNA", at positions 524 to 776 of the family's 1533-position model. The record is from RNAcentral.